Molecule: ribosomal RNA, 663 nt
Filed under: uncultured bacterium
Lineage: Bacteria
Description: bacterial SSU rRNA
Rfam family: Bacterial small subunit ribosomal RNA
Source: RNAcentral
UCUGNUCUGUCACUGACGCUGAGGCUCGAAAGCGUGGGUAGCGAACAGGAUUAGAUACCCUGGUAGUNCACGCCGUAAACGAUGAGUGCUAGGUGUUAGGCCCUUUCCGGGGCUUAGUGCCGGAGCUAACGCAAUAAGCACUCCGCCUGGGGAGUACGACCGCAAGGUUGAAACUCAAAGGAAUUGACGGGGGCCCGCACAAGCGGUGGAGCAUGUGGUUUAAUUCGAAGCAACGCGAAGAACCUUACCAGGUCUUGACAUCCCGAUGCUAUUCUUAGAGAUAGGAAGUUACUUCGGUACAUCGGAGACAGGUGGUGCAUGGUUGUCGUCAGCUCGUGUCGUGAGAUGUUGGGUUAAGUCCCGCAACGAGCGCAACCCUUAUUGUUAGUUGCCAUCAUUAAGUUGGGCACUCUAGCGAGACUGCCGGUAAUAAACCGGAGGAAGGUGGGGAUGACGUCAAAUCAUCAUGCCCCUUAUGACCUGGGCUACACACGUGCUACAAUGGUCGGUACAACGAGUUGCGAGCCGGUGACGGCAAGCUAAUCUCUGAAAGCCGAUCUCAGUUCGGAUUGGAGGCUGCAACUCGCCUCCAUGAAGUCGGAAUCGCUAGUAAUCGCGGAUCAGCACGCCGCGGUGAAUACGUUCCCGGGCCUUGUACACACC